GUUGUAUAGUCAAGUAAUUAAGUGCAUGUGGUGGAUGCCUUGGCAGUCAGAGGCGAUGAAAGACGUGAUAGCCUGCGAAAAGCUCCGGGGAGGCGGCAAAUAUCCUUUGAUCCGGAGAUGUCUGAAUGGGGGAACCCACCUACUUUAAGGUAGGUAUUGCAACAUGAAUACAUAGUGUUGCAAGGCGAACGAGGGGAAGUGAAACAUCUCAGUACCCUUAGGAAAAGAAAUCAAUUGAGAUUCCCUCAGUAGCGGCGAGCGAACGGGGAUCAGCCCAUUAAGUUAUGUGUGUUUUAGUGGAACGCUCUGGGAAGUGCGAACGUAGAGGGUGAUAUUCCCGUACACGAAAGGGCACACAUAAUGAUGACGAGUAGGGCGAGGCACGUGAAACCUUGUCUGAAUAUGGGGGGACCAUCCUCCAAGGCUAAAUACUCCUGACUGACCGAUAGUGAACCAGUACCGUGAGGGAAAGGCGAAAAGAACCCCUGUGAGGGGAGUGAAAUAGAUCCUGAAACCGCAUGCAUACAAGCAGUGGGAGCACCUUCGUGGUGUGACUGCGUACCUUUUGUAUAAUGGGUCAGCGACUUAUAUUCAGUAGCGAGGUUAACCGUAUAGGGGAGCCGUAGAGAAAUCGAGUCUUAAUAGGGCGUUUAGUUGCUGGGUAUAGACCCGAAACCAGGCGAUCUAUCCAUGAGCAGGUUGAAGGUUGGGUAACACUAACUGGAGGACCGAACCCACUGUCGUUGAAAAGCCAGGGGAUGACUUGUGGAUAGGGGUGAAAGGCUAAUCAAGCCUGGUGAUAGCUGGUUCUCCCCGAAAGCUAUUUAGGUAGCGCCUCGGACGAAUACCAUAGGGGGUAGAGCACUGUUUCGGCUAGGGGGUCAUCCCGACUUACCAAACCGAUGCAAACUCCGAAUACCUAUGAGUACUAUCCGGGAGACAGACUGCGGGUGCUAACGUCCGUAGUCAAGAGGAAAACAAUCCAGACCGCCAGCUAAGGCCCCAAAAUCAUAGUUAAGUGGGAAACGAUGUGGGAAGGCAUAGACAGCUAGGAGGUUGGCUUAGAAGCAGCCACCCUUUAAAGAAAGCGUAAUAGCUCACUAGUCGAGUCGGCCUGCGCGGAAGAUGUAACGGGGCUAAAACUAUGUGCCGAAGCUGCGGAUGUAUACUUUGUAUACGUGGUAGGGGAGCGUUCUGUAAGCCGAUGAAGGUGUGUUGAGAAGCAUGCUGGAGGUAUCAGAAGUGCGAAUGCUGACGUGAGUAACGACAAAACGGGUGAAAAACCCGUUCGCCGAAAGACCAAGGGU
RNAcentral lists this ribosomal RNA (1307 nucleotides) under Acinetobacter baumannii. Its description in RNAcentral is "partial 23S ribosomal RNA". It matches the Rfam family "Bacterial large subunit ribosomal RNA", at positions 1 to 1352 of the family's 2925-position model. Lineage: Bacteria; Pseudomonadati; Pseudomonadota; Gammaproteobacteria; Moraxellales; Moraxellaceae. The record is from RNAcentral.